GACAAAAUAAAAAUUAAUUUUAUAAAACAAAUAAAAUUAAAAUUUUAAUGUUUAUGUAUUUUUUAAACAAUACCAAACAGAAAAAGGCACACACACAAACACAACCACAACAAUAACAAUAAUCAUCACAAAGUGAUGAAUCUCUGAAACGACCAUUCUCUCUGAAUCGAAAAAGAUUUGUACUUUGUGAUUUGGGUUGACAGUCAGACACCAUGCGAUUUAGAAAAGGAAGCAAAGUCGAGGUGCUGAGUAAGAAAGAAGGGCCUUCAGGCUCCUGGCAAUGUGCUGAGAUAAUAAGUGGUAAUGGUCACAAUUACAAUGUUAGAUAUGAUGGACUAGGGAGUAACACUGUUGUGGAGAGGGUAUCCAGAAAGGAUAUAAGACCUUGCCCACCUCCGAUGGAAGUUUCAGAUGAUUGGGUUUGUGGUGAUGUUGUGGAGGUCUUUAACAAUUUUUCUUGGAAAAUGGCAACAAUUUUAAAGGUUUUAGGAAAGAAGUAUGUUUUGCUCAGGUUGGUUGGAUCUUCUCAAGAAUAUAAAGUCAGUAAAUUGGACAUCCGAGUCAGACAGUCUUGGCAAGAUGAUCAAUGGAUUGUAAUUGGAAAGGGUUCUAGAAAUUAUGAUAAUGGGAAAGAUAAUGAAAAUUUAACUUUAGAGGAAAAUCGAAAUUCAAGCUUCCAAAUUCAGAAGACAAACAUAAGGUUAAGUUCAAGAUUAAGUGGUCACUAUUUUCCUGUAAUGAAAGAACAAAAAUUUCAGGAAUCCCAAUUGUCCUCGUCAAAAUCUCUGAAAAGAGGAUUAUCUUACUGCAAUUCUCAAGCUGAUGUACAUGCCAGAAUAGCUCAGAAACGUAGAAUUGUUGAGAAUGGGGAAAUGUGUCACCGAUUGUUUGCUGCAAAUCAUUCUGUGUUAGCUGAACAGGCAGAUGCUGCUUUACCAAGAGAUAUGCAAGGUGAAAAAGAAUUAACUUCAUUUAACAUCAGAAGAACUGGUUUACCUGAAGUAAGUUUGGAGAAUAAGCGAAUUGGCAAAGUUGGAUAUUCAUUUGCAGUAAAUAGAGAAUCAGACAACGCGAAUAGUAUUGCAAGUUCAGUUGGUAGUUGUAGCAUCAAUUGCAAUAAUUCUUAUUCAUCACCCUGUCCUAUCAGGGAUCUGGAUUAUAACAAAGCUGAAUCUUUUUGUCAUUCGAGACAUGAAGAUGGAAACUGUCUCCUUCCAAGAAAGGAGGAAUUGGCUGAUGAAAUUCAUAGGUUAGAGUUGCAUGCUUACCGUUGUACUAUAGAAGUAUUGCAUGCAUCAGGACCUUUAAGUUGGGAAAAAGAAGAAUUGAUGACUAAUCUCCGACUUUCACUCCAUAUAUCAAAUGAUGAACAUUUGCUGGAACUCAGAAACUUGGUUUCUGCAGAUACCAGCGUACAACUUAGAUGACAGGAAAUAUUUUUACCUUGAAAUUUUCCAUCUAGCUUAGAAUGGGAUUAGUUUUUCUCCAGCAACUUGCUGCAUUAUACCUGGAUUACUCUCUGUGUUGUGAGGAAGCUAUGUCAUGCUAUCUUGUUACAUAAGAAUUUGAGGAAGCUAUGUCAUGCUAUCUUGUUACAUAAGAAUUUCUAAAGGACCCCAUCCUUUAUACAAAUUGGUUAACCAUACCAAUUUGGCUCUAUAAAACUCUCAAAAUGAGGAGAGUUUUGAUGCUUCCCUGCGUUUUACAGGGCUGAAACAUCUUACUCCCUAGCGUCAAAAGACGACAUUGGGCGAUUGCUGCCAUUCUCCCUGGGCAAGUUUUGUGAAACAACUUGUGAUAGAGCCAGGAUUUUCAUUAUGGCUGGAUUGUUGCAGUUCAAGGCACCAAUGAGCCUUAGAUAUCUGUAGCUGAAGAAUAUAAAGCCAGAACUAGUCUUGUGGCUUUGAUCUGGAUGGAGUGACAACAAAAGGUUGAUUUUUUUCUAAAACCUUUGUCUCAGCUCGUAAUAUAGAAUUUUUUUUGCUAUUCUGAUGUCUGCUGUACUUUUCAUCUUCUGCAAAUAUACAGGUAGAGUUUUUUUUUCUUUUGCACUCUCAGUUUCAUGAUGCCUUUCACUUGUACGGUUCCAUUACAUUUCUAUACUCUAGUGCAAACAUCUACUGUAUUACUUUUGAAAUUCAGAAUAAUUGAUACUAUUCUAACUCAAGA
This is an RNA transcript of Humulus lupulus (European hop), 2169 nucleotides long. RefSeq lists it as uncharacterized. NCBI's taxonomy places the organism in Eukaryota, Viridiplantae, Streptophyta, Magnoliopsida, Rosales, Cannabaceae. The transcript is spliced from 4 exons. The record is from RefSeq and is a predicted model, not a curated record.